GAUGAACGCUGGCGGCGUGCCUAAUACAUGCCAGUCGAGCGAACAGACGAGGAGCUUGCUCCUCUGACGUUAGCGGCGGACGGGUGAGUAACACGUGGAUAACCUACCUAUAAGACUGGGAUAACUUCGGGAAACCGGAGCUACUACCGGAUAAUAUAUUGAACCGCAUGGUUCAAUAGUUAAAGACGGUUUUGCUGUCACUUAUAGAUGUAUCCGCGCCGCAUUAGCUAGUUGGUAAGGUAACGGCUUACCAAGGCAACGAUGCGUAGCCGACCUGAGAGGGUGAACGGCCACACUGGAACUGAGACACGGUCCAGACUCCUACGGGAGGCAGCAGUAGGGAAUCUUCCGAAAUGGGCGAAAGCCUGACGGAGCAACGCCGCGUGAGUGAUGAAGGUCUUCGGAUCGUAAAACUCUGUUAUUAGGGAAGAACAAAUGUGUAAGUAACUAUGCACGUCUUGACGGUACCUAAUCAGAAAGCCACGGCUAACUACGUG
This 497-nucleotide ribosomal RNA is filed under the name uncultured bacterium. RNAcentral describes it as "partial 16S ribosomal RNA". It matches the Rfam family "Bacterial small subunit ribosomal RNA", at positions 28 to 507 of the family's 1533-position model. The record is from RNAcentral.